Molecule: long non-coding RNA, 2790 nt
Filed under: Mytilus galloprovincialis (Mediterranean mussel)
Lineage: Eukaryota; Metazoa; Mollusca; Bivalvia; Mytilida; Mytilidae
Source: RNAcentral
GUAAUGUGUAUCCUAGGUUGGGGAUUGCGAAUUAACCACAAACCAAUAUACCAAGGCAGUUAUUAACAGAUUAAUACGAACGUAGGUUGACAUUUUUAUUCGUCUGAACUUAUAAAUUGAAAGGGAUAACACUGACAAAAAAACUUUCACAUAUUUUAUCACAUAGCAAGGUUGCUUUUCGAGAAAUUUGACAUAAGUGUAAAAAUAUAUCCAUGAAUGAUGAUUGUUGCUUCAUUUGUUAUGUGAUGACUAAAUGGAUCUAGUAUAACAGAAGCUAUAUAGAUUGACAACGUAUGUUGAAUGAUGACGACAUAAUGGUUAAGAAUACUAAAUACAGAAAACAUUAUGCACAUUGUAAUGUUACCAUAAAUAAUAAAAUAUGAGAUGAAGCACACACAUAGCUUCAAUGAUAAUGAUAACCUCGCAACAAAUCCACCCUGUACUUUUGAGGUACGUGUUCGUUUCAUACAGAAAUAUAUAAAAGCUUACCUGAACUUGAACAUGUUGAAAUUAUAUAAUAAUUAAACUAUCACUAAAUGAUAUUGACCUAAAUGUCAUUUCCUUUUGUCUUUUUUCAUAGCAAAUCAAUUCAAAUGAUUUCAAAAGUUACUUUACGACGCCAUUAUGAAAUACACAAUAUCGAAAGUAGAAUCAGAUGUACUGAUGCACCUUGGGAGUGUCAGUAAUCAGCCGUAAAUUCGUAAAUCAAAAUCUUUAUUGGCAUUUAACUUAGUUCAUUAAUCAUUAAAAAAUUCAUGAAGCACCAUUAUAGGUUUGUGUCGAUAAAUUAAGCCAAAUAUUGAGAGUUUUGGUAUACUGAGUGUGAUGAGGGUCUUGUUUUGGUCAAAGACAGAGUUAUGGAAUAUCAGUGUGAUAAAGCGCGGAUUAAUUGCAGUUUAUUUCCAAACCCACUGACAGUAUUUUUUUUAUGUGAAAUUAUGACAAUAUGGAUAUUUAACCGAUUUAAAAAAAAAUUCGUUUAAGACAGGGCUAUGAAUCAAUCAAAUUAAGGUCAUCACUCAAGAAAUUUUACGGUCGCCAUCAGGAGCUGAUUGGCCAUUAUGACAAAAGUGUGUCAGAAAUCAUAUCUGAUAUUCUUCCUCAGUCAUAAUAACCUUCUAUCAUUACCGAACAAUGAUAUAACACGACGGGUGCUGUAUACGAUGCAGGAAAUGCUUACCCUUCCGGAGCACCUGAAUUCACUCCCGGUUUUUAGUGGAGUUCGUGUUGUUUCUUAUUUAUUACUUAUAACUGUUGAUGUAAAUGUCCUUUGUUUUUUUUUGUCUUUGUUUACUCCUUGGUUUUGAUUGUUAUUGUCUUAUUUAAGGCUUAUUAUAGUGGGAAUAAUGUCAGCAUUUCUAAACUAAAUACGAAAAACAUUCCAUUCUAUGCUAUUGACACUAUUUGUAUGUUGGUAUGUGAUACUUAAUUUACUUAUCUUAAUUGACCGUUUCGAGCUCACUUUAAAUUAUACGUUAAGUUCGAGAUUAAUCUUAUUUAUUAUGUACUAAUUCGCAAAUGAAAGAACUUGAAUAUAAUUGCAUGAAAUUGUUAUGGGUUUAUUUGGAGAGUCUCGCUUUAUAUAGUUUAUUUUAUGUUCAAUUUUGAUUCAAAAACACAAAACAAGUUUAUAAAUUAAACUUUAAAAGUAUUUGAAUACAAAUACACAAGUAUUUUAGUGGCACGAACACAACUAAAAGAAAUGACAAUUUGAGAAUAUUAUCACAACGUAUAAUAUAAUAAUGGAAAAAAAUAAAAUGUUAUAAUUUCGAGGAUGAAAUCCCAUUUCCAUAAUCUAGACAUUUACGUUAGGUUUAGUCACUGUCAGGACAAUUAAACAAUUACUACUAAUGUUACAUUACAUAUUUACUAGAUUUUUCAAAUUUAAAACCACAUAAUAAUUUCAUCACAAAUCUCUUUCGAGUGAUCAGACAUAGACAAGUAUUCGACACACGUAAUGUAUGCCCCUCCUGAGGUUAUCAAAUGAAGUGUUUGCUGAGAACAGAUUUAACCUUUGAAUUAAAAAAUAUAUGAUUAGAAUGAUUUAUGAUAUUUUGUAACAAGGAUAGAAAUAGAGUUGUCAAAUGAACAAAACAUAUAAUUAAGUUCUGUCAAAUUUUGAAUCUCUUCUUCUAUAAGUAUGAUUAAAGCGGAUUACUGAAAUCUUUUAAAAAAAAUUGAAAUACUAAGGCUUUUCUACCUAAUAAAUAGAUAACCUGAGCUGUAUUUGACAAAAUUUUUAGGAAUUUUUGGUACUCAAUGCUCUUCAAUUUUGUACUUAUUUGGCCUUUUCAAUUUAUUUUGAUUCGAGUGUCACUGAUGAGUCUUUUGUAGACGAAACGCGCGUCUGGCCCAAAUAUUAAUCAUGGUAUCUGUGAUGAGUUUAUUUACAACUGAACACUUUCACAAUACAAAUUCCAAAGAUGAAACACCAUAAUUGCAGUUUGAUUAUAUCUGUAAAAACUCGUCAACUUGGUAAAACAGUUAGUAUAAUGUGACUGCCAUACAAGUGAGAGGUUAAGCUAGUUAUAAAACCAGGUUCAAUCCACAAUUUUCUACUUAUGAAAGUCCUAAUGAGACUACCAGUUCUAUAGAUAAUUGUUGACUAAUAAGCCAGCUUAGUAUAUUUCAAAUUAUUACAUGUUUUGUUUAUUUUUCAGCCUUCUACCGACCCUUCUUUAGCAGGUGUGAGUAAAAUAAUGUAUCUUCUUAUAUAUCUUAUUUAUACAUUUAAUCAGGAUCUAUAAUGUUGUAGUCGAAAGAAAAAAAUGGGGAGAGGGAUUCAAGCAG